AGUGAACGCUGGCGGCAGGCCUAACACAUGCAAGUCGAACGGCAGCACAGCAGUAGCAAUACUGUGGGUGGCGAGUGGCGGACGGGUGAGGAAUACAUGGGAAUCUGCCCUGUCGUGGGGGAUAACGUAGGGAAACUUACGCUAAUACCGCAUACGACCGAGAGGUGAAAGCGGCGGACCGCAAGGCGUCGCGCGAUUGGAUGAGCCCAUGUCGGAUUAGCUAGUUGGCGGGGUAAAGGCCCACCAAGGCGACGAUCCGUAGCUGGUCUGAGAGGAUGAUCAGCCACACUGGAACUGAGACACGGUCCAGACUCCUACGGGAGGCAGCAGUGGGGAAUAUUGGACAAUGGGCGCAAGCCUGAUCCAGCCAUGCCGCGUGAGUGAAGAAGGCCUUCGGGUUGUAAAGCUCUUUUGUCCGGAAAGAAAAGCCUUCGGUUAAUACCCGGGGGUGAUGACGGUACCGGAAGAAUAAGCACCGGCUAACUUCGUGCCAGCCGCCGCCGUAA
RNAcentral lists this ribosomal RNA (506 nucleotides) under uncultured bacterium. RNAcentral's name for it is "partial 16S ribosomal RNA". It matches the Rfam family "Bacterial small subunit ribosomal RNA", at positions 29 to 523 of the family's 1533-position model. The record is from RNAcentral.